AUACGGAGGAUCCGAGCGUUAUCCGGAUUUAUUGGGUUUAAAGGGAGCGUAGGUGGAUUGUUAAGUCUGUUGUGAAAGUUUGCGGCUCAACCGUAAAAUUGCAGUUGAAACUGGCAGACUUGAGUACAGAAGAGGUGGGCGGAAUUCGUGGGGUAGCGGUGAAAUGCUUAUAUAUGACGAAGAACUCCGAUUGCGAAGGCAGCUCACUAGACUGCAACUGACACUGAUGCACGAAAGUGUGGGUAUCAAACAGGAUUACAUUCCCUGGUAGUCCACACAGUAAACGAUGAAUACUCGCUGUUUGCGAUAUACAUUAAGCGGCCAAGCGAAAGCAUUAAGUAUUCCACCUGGGGAGUACGCCGGCAACGGUGAAACUCAAAGGAAUUGACGGGG
RNAcentral lists this ribosomal RNA (393 nucleotides) under uncultured bacterium. RNAcentral describes it as "partial 16S ribosomal RNA". It matches the Rfam family "Bacterial small subunit ribosomal RNA", at positions 523 to 918 of the family's 1533-position model. The record is from RNAcentral.